AAAACUAUACUUCACAAGAUCAUUUCUGUAGUCAGUCUUCAUUUACUUUCUUUGCAAAUCGAAAGUUGACAGACCCGCGAUAAACUGUAGG
This is a small nucleolar RNA of Ceratitis capitata (Mediterranean fruit fly), 91 nucleotides long. RefSeq annotates it as small nucleolar RNA U3. The transcript has a single exon. NCBI's taxonomy places the organism in Eukaryota, Metazoa, Arthropoda, Insecta, Diptera, Tephritidae. The record is from RefSeq and is a predicted model, not a curated record.